AGCACAUUCACCUGACAAGGAGCUGGCCGCAGCCUCCGCUGCCAAACGGUGACGGUGCUGGCUGGUGCCCCCAGGAGCUGUUCACCACCUCCCGGGCUAAUGGCGCUUGCUGCCUGGCACACAGCAGGUGACUACACUGCAUGGCUUAUAAAUGUGGCCUCUGCCAGGAAAUCCUGGGAAAGAGCCAGGGAGGUGACGUUUUAUCCACGAGCCUGCUAUGGCUUAGCCUAGCCCUCCCCUAACUGUGACCAAGCUCUGGAUGAGACACAGACAACUACUGAGGACCUGCAAAGUAAGGAGACUGCAGGGCGGAGGCGGAACUUGGAGGAGUGACCUGCCGUGGAGUUUCUGGUUUCCUCCUUGUGGCUUUGUCUGGAGGGCAAGCCCCACUCUCAGAUCCACAUGGCAACACAAGCAGCUAAAACGCAGAUAGAAACCCCAACCUGGGAAAAGGAGUCCUACAGUCUCACAGUGCCACCCAGCAGUGCCAACCCAGCAAAGGUCUUGAGAACCACACUGAGAGAGGUGGGGUUUGGGAUGAACCUGGCUGCUAAAGUGGAAACAGCAACGUUCCCCGAGGGCUAGGACAGCACCCAGAGUCCACACGGUGUGCUCAGACGUAAAACAAAAUUACUCAAUAGACACAAAACUAGGAAGGUGUGAUCAUCCUCAAGAGAACAGACAAUGCUCAGAUGCCAGCCCCAACUGACACAGAUGCCUACAGCAGCCGCGGUAACUGCUUUGCGAGUUGCACGCAUACACAGCACACGCACACACACCUCAGAAAGGAGCAUUAGAUGAAAUGAAUAAUAAACCUCACAGAGAGGUAGGAAAAAAAAUAAACAAAUGAGUAUUUUUGAACUAAAAGAAUAGAGUAUCUGCAAUUAAAAUUGUACUGAUGGACUCAAUAGCAGAAUGGAGACAAAGGAAAGCCAGCGAACGUGAAGACAGAUAAAUAGAAAAUAUCCACUCCGAAGAACGAAGAUAAAGAGGAAAAACAAGAACAAGCAUCACGGGCCAGCUGGGGUCGUAUCGAAAGGCCCAGCACAUACCUGGUUCCAGAAAGCAAGGAGGAGGUUGGGGCAGAAAGUUAUUUGAAGGAAUAUUGGCUGAAACAUCCCAAGUCUGGUGAAAUACAUAAAUGUAAGCAUUCAAGAAGCUCAGUGAACCCCAAAGAAGAUAAACAGAAAGGAAAAUAGACCCAGACAUAGCAUCAUCAAAUUGCUGAAAACUGAAGAAAACAUCUGGAAAGCAGCUAGAGAAAAACAACACAUUUCGUACACAAAAGCAGUGACUCCAGUGACUACAGAAUUCUUGCCAGAAACCACGGCAGCCAGGAGACAGCAGAACGAUGUCUUUAAUGCAUGAAAGGAAAGGUUUCUCCUUGCAAGGUGUUUGUUCAUUUCUUCCAAGUUGUGGAAUAUAUGGGCAGAAGAUUGGACACCAUCCCCCUCGACUCUUUUUUCCCAUCUGUAGGGUCUGCGGUGAUGUCCUUUUUAGCCUCCAUGUUUGUAAUGAGGGUCUCUUUGUUUUGGGGUCAGUCUGGCCAGCAGCUUAUCAAUUGUAUUGAUCUUUUCAAAGAAUCAGCUUGGGUUUCAUUUAUUUUCUCUAUUUUCUGUUUUUGUUUUUUGUUCAGCUGAUUUCCACCCUGAUCUUUAUUACCUUCUACUUUCCGCAUGCGUUUUGUAAUUUAUUUUUCCCUUACUAGUUUCUCCAGGUGAAAGCUCCUAUCAUAGUUGGCAAGGGUUUUCUGUAAAGGGCUAGAGAGUAAAUAUGUUUGGUUUUGUGAGCCACGUGGUGUCUGUUGCAACCACUCAACUGCUGUUGUAGCGUGAAAGCAGCAACAGAAAACACAUAAAAUACCAAGUUGUUCUCCAGCAUAACUUUAUUUUCAACAGCAAGAAGGGGCCAGACAUGGCCGGUGGGCUGUAGCUUGCUGGCUCUUGGCUUAGAGUGAUUUGUGAUCUCUUCCUUUUUUAUCGUUUCAGCAAUUACUGCUGUAAAAUCUAUCCUAAACACCAGUCAAUCUGCAUCCCACAAAUGUUGAUAUGUUGUUUUAAUUUCCAUUGAAUUCAAAAUAGUGUCUAAUUACCUCUGCAUUAACCCUGUGCUUCUGCGCUUUGACAUCUGGGGUGACCCAGGAGGGGCUCCCCCUCCAAGGGCUUCCCAGCAAGAUCACCCUUCAUAAGCAAAUCAAGGAUUCCAGAGCCCACACCCCAACCGCUCCCCAACUGGGCCACACUCUGGGCCAACGUCCCCCUGCCCUAAUCACCCCAGGGCCAGGAGCUACACCCAGACCAGCUGGCAUUAAUGCAACCAGCCAGUUCUCCACCUGUCCACCCCCUGGCCUGGUCCUUCCCACACCACGUUCCUCGCACCCUCUGCCUCCUGGCCUACCUGGUGCUUGCCCUGUGCCCCUUCACCGUGGUGAUGCGGCCAGCUCUGUCCUCUUGGGACCCGUGACAAAUCAUCUUUUUGAUGGUGGUUGUCUCCUGACCUGUGGGCCUCACCCUACCUGAAUAACAAUGAAAGUUACAUUUUAAAAAUACCAGGUCACCUCCUCUGUUGAUAUGUUGUUUUAAUUAACAACUUCUAAACAACUCAUGAGUUCUUUUGGUUUUUUUGAGAUGGAGUCUUGCUCUGUCAGCCUGGCUGGAGUGCAGUGGCACAAUCUCGGCUCACUGCAACCUCUGCCUCCUGGGUUCAAAUGAUUCUUGUGCCUCAGCCUCCCGAGUAGCUGGGAUUACAGGUGUGGGCCACCAUGACCAGCUAAUUUUUGUAUUUUUAGUAGAGACGGGAUUUCACCAUGUUGGUCAGGCUGGUCUCAAACUCCUAACCUCAAGUGAUCUGCCUGCCUCAGCCUCCCAAAGUGCUGGGAUUACAGGCGUGAGCCACGACGCCGGUCGCUCACGAGUUAUUUAGAAUUGAGUUGCUUAAUGUUUCAGGAUGUUCUGUAUUGGGUUCUCCUUUCAUUCUAAUUCUGGGAUAGUCAAGGAACACAAGUCUCAACAAAUCUUGAGAUUAUUCUUACUUUGUUCUCUGCACGACUUGAGUCUUUUAAGAUCUACUGAGACUUGUGCUGGGACCCAGCGCGGUCGGCCUUGGUCACUGCUCUGCGUGCCCUGGAGAAGCAUGCACCGCUGCUGGGGUGCAGUGUCUGGCACGUGCCAUGGUCCAGCUGGCCCCCGAUGUUCUGUGGGGGCAUUGCUCCCCAGCGUGUCCGGACAGGUUCUUGCUGAGCACCGGAACCCUGAACAUCCAGGGAAUGAGGCGUCAGACACAGUGGGGGAGCUCCAGCCAGCGAGCGCCUGCUCCCGCUCCGGGAAGCGCUCCUGGUCCAUGGCAUCACCGUCCUCAGGCGCAGUCAGGCCUGGGGAUGUUUCCUGCCACCGGAAGUGCCCUGAAGGUGUCCUGGUGGCCGCCGUGUGAAGGGAUGAUGUGACUGUGCACCACAGUCCCCAUUUCAGGAGCACGAUUCACCCCGGGACGCGGUCCUGAGACCGUCCCACUCUUUAGGGGCUGUGGGGGAUGGAGGAGGGGCUCAUGAGAGUCACCCAGACCCACAGUUCACCCUGCAUUUUCCCAGUGGUCCUGGGCAGGCCACACUCUCGGCCUCCAAGAACUCGCACCCCUCCCAUGACAGAGGAGCCUGGGAUCAGGGAGAGGGGAUCGUGUGCUCGGGGGCACCAGCCCCAUGAGAGGACCUGUGUGGGAGGUGUGUGGUCCUGGCACAGGGCCUGGAACUGCCAGGGCAAGGGAGGGGAAGGACACCCAGCACUACUCUGAUGUGCAAACCCUAGAGCUGCCUCGUGGCCACCCCGGGAGGAGAAGGAGGGAGUGUGCAGGGCUGGAAGGGCUGACAGCGCUUUAGACACCGUAACUCCACAUUUGUGUUUUUCAUGCUUGGAGCUUCUGUAGGAAGAUGGAGGUUGGCCAAAGUUUCAGUGACUAAAAGUGUGAAAUUCAUUUAAGUCCAUCAAACUCAAACUUGUGCAGGCACCAGGCAGUCACCCUUGAUGAAGGCAGCUGGCCAGGCAUAAGGGACACAAUCCGCAGAGCCAACGAGACCAGAAAUGAUGCUGGACCACAGAGCGCGUGGACAGUGAGGAGCGGUGAGGCCUGUGCAGAGGGCAGUAGCCAAGCCCAACACAGCUGAGUGCAGCCACGCACAGCCCAGCCACGCCACACCACGCCCAGUCACAUCCAGCCCAACACAGCUGAGUGCAGCCAUGCCCAGUCCAGCCACGCCACACCACACCCAGCCACACCCAGCCCAACAUAGCCAUGACCAACCACACCCAACCCAGCCCAGCCUAGCCACGCCCAGCCCAGCUCAGCCGUGUCCAGCCCAGCCACGCCCAACCCAACACAGCCACGCCCAGCCCUUGGAAGCCACACCCCACUCCCCACACCACACCUGAAUACAGGCCUAGUGUUACCAGAACUUCUAAUUUUCCAACAGAAAUGUGCAAUUGGGGUCAUUAUGUUCAGUUUCCCAGUUUUGAAUAUAGUUUCAACUAUCUUGACCAGCUCUACUGAGGAUUAUUUGACACAAUCAACUGCACAUGUAAAAGUGAUGAUUUGGAAAGCUUCGACCUAUGUGCACACCCACGAAACCCUUCCCAUGGUCCACGGUGAACCUCGUCACCCACAGCAUGUCCUCCUGCCUGUGUCCUCCCACCCCUGUCCCCAGGAACCACCGAUGUCACUACAGACAACUGCAUUUUGCAGAAUUCCAUAUGAACGAAGUCACAUGUAUACACGCCUUCUUUCACGCAGCAUAAUUAUUUUCACGUUUGAUUUUGUCAUGUGUUUCAAAAUUCCACUCCUUUUUAUUUCUGCGUUGUAUGGAUGCACCAUGAUUUGUUCAUCCAAUCACUUGUUGGUAGACAUUUUGGUUUUUCCCCCAGGUUUUUGCUAUCACAAAUAAAACUGCUAUGGACAGUCAUGCAUAA
Long non-coding RNA from Homo sapiens (human), 4955 nucleotides. RefSeq annotates it as long independently transcribed non-coding RNA 2970. NCBI's taxonomy places the organism in Eukaryota, Metazoa, Chordata, Mammalia, Primates, Hominidae. The transcript is spliced from 2 exons. The record is from RefSeq and is marked validated.